RNAcentral lists this long non-coding RNA (737 nucleotides) under Ananas comosus (pineapple). Its description in RNAcentral is "long non-coding RNA (ACOM_LNC028766)". Lineage: Eukaryota; Viridiplantae; Streptophyta; Magnoliopsida; Poales; Bromeliaceae. The record is from RNAcentral.
UUUUUUUGGAAAAACUUGGUUUUGUACUUUUUUUUCUUAUUUUAGUAUUGUAUAAUUUAAAAUGUUUCAAUUUAAUACUAUGUGGUUUCUUAUUUUCUUACUUUAGUAUUUUGUGAUUUAAAGUGCAUCAAUUUAGUACCCUGUGGUUUCAUUUUUUUCUUUUCGUCGGCUCCUCUAUUAAUAUUUCGUUAAAUUAUAUACAAAAAACUUCAGAUAUCCUACUUAGGUUUAUCGAAUAUUUACUUUAGAGUCCUUUAGUUUUAACUUUGUCAUUGAUUUUUUUUUACUCCGUUAAUAUUUCGUUAAAUUAUAUACAAAAAACUUCAUAUACCCUACCUAGGUUUAUCGAAUAUUUACUUUAGUACCCUUUGGUUUUAACUUUGUUACUGAUUUUUUUUUCCUCCGUUAAUAUUUCGUUAAAUUAUAUACAAAAAACUUCAGAUACUCUACCUAGGUUUACCGAAUAUUCACUUUAGUACUCUUUAAUUUUAACUUUGUCACUGAUUUAACGAAAAAAAUUAAUGAAAUAAAUAAUAAAAAGAGAAAAAUAAAGUCACGGGAUACUAAAUUGAUACACUUUAAACCACAGGGGACUAAAGUAAGAAAGUGCAAAACCACGGGAUACUAAAUUGAUACAUUUUAAACCACAUGGUACUAAAGUGAGAAAGUGUGAAACCACAAUGACAGGUAUUUGAACUUUACCCUUUUUUUAAUUUUCUUAUUUAUUUUUCUCAUUU